Molecule: long non-coding RNA, 6437 nt
Organism: Loxodonta africana (African savanna elephant)
Lineage: Eukaryota; Metazoa; Chordata; Mammalia; Proboscidea; Elephantidae
Exons: 2
Source: RefSeq, a predicted model, not a curated record
CUUGAAAAAAUAUUAAUUAGAAUGGGGAGAUCAAGAUAAAUGAAACAGAACACAAGUAUGUAAACCAUAAAGGCCAUAUUGUGUAUUAUAGAUAACUUUUAAGAAAAUAAAAGAUGUCUAGGAAUUUUAAAAAUGACUUUUACAUUAUUGUAAGUGUUACAUGCUUUAUUAUUAUGAAUGCUAGAUUAUUUGCUUAGAUUUAGAAAUAUUAAGAAAUGCUUGCUACCUAAUGAAUGCAAGUGACUUUGGCAACUAGGAUAUAUGGAGUUACAAAAAGGAUACAUUACAGUCCAUGGAAUAACAUAAUGACAGUUUUUGUGUUUGGUGCCUGUCAAGUGUCUAGUACUAUUUUAGCUACUUUGUGUGGGGAAGGUUGGUAUAGAAGAUGUUUUCAUGUGCUGGAUAAAAAAAAAAUAACAAAAUGCUAGAUAAAUAAAAUGAUAGUUAAACCAGAAUAUUUUAAAGACUGGUAGGUUUUACCUUUAAAAAGCAAAAACCAAAGCCAGUUGUCAUCAGGUUUGUCGAUAGGUGCACUGUUAUCAAUAAAUCAAAUUACGUAGAGGAUGCGGACUCUCCUCACUGGGAAUAUCUUCCAGAGUAUAGGAUAUUGGUUCCUAUCUCUUGCCUCCUGCCUUUCCCUUAAACUAAAAUUGUUGUUGUUGUGUGCCAUCGAGUUAAUUCCAACUCAUAGCGAUCCUGUAGGAUAGAGUAGAACUGCCCCAAGGGGUUUUCGUGCCUGUGAUCUUUACAGGAGCAGAUUGCCAGGUCUUUUCUCCUGUGAAGCUACUGGUAGAUUUGAACCUUUUGGUUAGCAGCAGAGCACUUACUUUCAAAUUGAUUCUAACUCAUGGUGACUUCAUGUGAAUCAGAGUAGAACUCUGCUCCAUAGAGUUUUCAUGACUGUCGUCUUUUGGUAGCAGAUCGCUAAGGCUUUUCUUCCAGAUGCACCUUUGGAUGGGUUCAUUCAAACCACCCCUCCCCUUACCCCUGUUUUAUUUGUGGCUUCUCCAACUCAGGUUUGUUGUUCCCAAUAGUUAUCGUACAGUGAAAAUGAGCCUCAAACUUCUCUAUCAAGUGCACAACCCUACCAGUCAGAAUAGACUUUCCUUCCCAGUUCUUCCCUGCUCAAAUUUUAAGUAGGUUUCCUGUACUAACUUCCCUUUAAUAUUAAGUUAACAUAGUCUUUACCCUGGUUCAUAUUUCUCUUUGAGUUGUGUCUGCUCAUAAUUUUUUCUGUCAUAAUACACAUUUCAGUCCAAGCAACCUGAACCACCUGUUACUGGCAGAACUAUAGUAAGCUCACUUUGCCUUUUCCCAAUCUUAGUCUGUAGAUUUCCCAAUAGAUACCAUUCGUCAUCAACAUUGCAUUCUUAAUUUUAUAAACAGGGAACAGUAAUCAAGCACCUACUAUAUGGCAGUCUUUACACUAGAAGCUUGGAUUAUAAAGAUGAACCAGGCAUGCCUACUAUGUGUAAAGAUCUUUUCUAAUAGGGAAGAAAAAAAAAUUUUUUUUUUUUUUGUCCGACAGACAUGUAAAUAAUGAAUAACUGUAAAAUGUGUUGUAUUAUCAUCUAGAUGGAAACAAAGUAUUCUAACUUAAUGUUUAGGGAAAGGAUGUCUUCAAGGAAAUGGGAUUUGAACUGGACCUUGAAGAUUGAGUAGGAGGGUACUCACUUCGGCAGCACAUGUACUAAAAUUAGAAUGAUACAGAGAAGAUUAGCGUGGCCCCUGUGUAACGAUGACACACAAAUUCGUGAAGCAUUCCAUAUUUUUUAUGGGAGUGUUGACAUGUCCUGGGGUUGGUAACCAGUGUCACAAAUUUGCUCCUUAUAUAGGGAGUCACAUACAUAUUCAUGUACAGUGAGGGGACAAUCUUCAGUCCUGGGAUCCAUGCACAGUCCGCAUAAUUUUUGUGAAUGAGUUUUUGCGCACAGCUCUAAAACUACUGCACACAGUCCUAGAAAAAUGGUGAUGGCUCACUACUGCCACCCCAGGAAGGUCGUGUAGCGGGUAAAUUUGGAGUUCGUGCCCCUGCAUCUCAGCCUCCUGCAAGAGAAGAAGAGGAAACCUGGUGAAUCAACCAAUCAUGAAGUGCUAUGGUGAAGUGCUAUGAAAGUUGCAACAAAAAUGUAACAAGGGUAGACUUUUCUGAAAAAUAACUAUUAUGUGAUGGUCAAUAACCUUCUACCUGCUUCAGUACCUACUUUGUAGGGUUAUUGUGAAGACUUUUUAGGACAUUUUUAGUAGUUUCAUAGUGAUGACUAAGUGAGUUUAAAAAAAAAUUAUCCUGCACACAAAAAAAUUAAUAGGCAUGGGAAUAGUGACAGUCCUAUAAUGUAAAAAUUUAUCAGGCUUCUUCAAGUCUGUUUUAGAGAAAUGGGAACAGCAUGUAUCAUUCUGAAUGUAAAGUCCAGAAAUUCCUUCUUAUCAAGUCUAUCCUGUCAUUAUGUUUUUAUUCAGUUAGUUAUCAUUUAUUUCCUUUUUACCAGGAUUGUGUCCCCAGUAUUCCUGAAUACCAUUUGAAAGAUCUGACUCAUAAGUUCCAAAGACCAGGUGGUUAUGUGAAACCAGCAUUAUGGAAAAAUGGAGGAUGACUACAUCAUUACAUGACUGCCAAAUUACAUCUUUACAUAGCUGUCAAAUUACAUCAUUACAUAACUGUCAAACCGCUGAGAAUCAUGGCCCAACCAAAUUGACACAUAACCAUCAUUGCAGUAAGAGUUAUUCUCGCUUUGCACCUCGGUCCUUGGUAGUGCCUGAUCUUUGACAAAGGCUCAAAGUCCAUUAAAUGGGGAAAAGACAGCCUUUUUAACAAAUGGUGCUGGCAAAACUGGAUGUCCGUCUGCAAAAAAAUGAAACUGGACCCAUACCUCACACCAUACACAAAAAGUAAUUCAAAAUGGAUCGAAGAUCUAAAUGUAAAAUAAAAAACUAUAAAGAUCAUAGAAGAAAAAAUAGUGUCAAUGCUAGAGGCCCUAAUACACGGCAUUAACAGGAUACAAACUGUAACUAACAAUACACAAACACCAGAAGAUAAGCUAGAUAACUGAGAUCUUCUAAAAAUUAAACACUUCGGCUCAUCAAAAGACUUUACCAAAAGAGUAAAGAGACAACCUACAGGCUGGGAAAACAUUUCUGGUUACGACAAAUCUGACAAAGGUCUACUCUCUAAAAUCUACUGCAAAAUCCACCACCUCUACAACAAAAAGACAAAUAAUCCAAUCAAAAAAUGGGCAAAGGAUAUGAACAGACACUUCACCAAAGAAGACAUUCAGGCAGCUAAAAACAUGAGGAAGUGCUCACAAUCACUAGGCAUUACCCAGUACCCAGUGCCAUCGAGUCGAACUCUAUGGGGCAGUUCUACUCUGUCACUAGCCAUUAGAGAAAUGCAAAUCAAAACCACAAUGAGAUACCAUCUCACCCCAACAUUACUGUCAUGAACCAAAAAACAGAAAAGAAGCGUUGGAGAGGCUAUGGGGAGAUUGGAACUCUUAUGCACUGCUGGUGGGAAUGGAAAAGAUAGAACAUUUUUGGAAAAUGAUAUGACGCUUUCUUAAAAAGCUAGAAAUAGACGGGGCGGGGCCAAGAUGAUGAACUAGCCAGAAGCUUCAGACGAUCACUCUAACAAAGAAGACCCGAAAAAACAAGUGAAUUGAUUGUAUAUAUGACAAACUAGAAACCCUGAGCAUCAAAGGCGAAAUGAAGGAAUCAGUCUGAGUGACAGGGUAGGGAGAGACGGUGUAGAAGCAGCGAUGAGUUGCUGAGCCAUGCAGUGCCUCAGCUCCAAUUCUUUGACACCAUUCUUUGGCACGACUGUGGCGGGGCUGAUGGUAGUUCCCUGAGACACAGCAGCUUCAGCGAGAGAAGGCAAGCGGAGUAGUGCACCCCUGACCCUGUGGCAUGUCUACAAUGGGGCUGGCUGUGGCAUUUAGGAAGUGGCUGCUUCAGUGAAAGAAGGCAGCCAAAGUGCUGACACCCUGACCCCCUGGCAUGACAGCCACGGGACUGGCGGUGGAGUUUACGACACAGCUGCUUCAGCGAAAGAAGACAACGUGGGACACAGCCCUAACCCCCUGGGGCAGUCUCGGCGGGGAGCCAGCCAGUGCACACAGGCUACACAUGCCUCUGGAAUCUGAGAUAAAACAGCGCUCUUGACACAGAUAAGUGUGUUUGUCUAAUUUACUGCUUGUGGAUCUAAUAGCUCCUUCUUUUGAAAGAACUCUCUCCUGUCUGUCUAAUCCUUCCUCCUCUGCCCCAGCUGGCUUCAUUAACAGUUGAUUUCCCUGGGCCUGAGAUAGAACCUGCUGCACUCCAUGAGCCAUUCUCCUGACCUUUUAGAAGGAACAGAUUAACAAAUGGGGGGAAAAAUACUCUGCAGUCUCCCCUAAUCUGGAAGCAUAGAGCAAAAGCAGCUCUAGUCCAAGCAUAAGCGAUCCAGACUUUGUCUCUCACCCCUACAUAGAUCCAGGUGGCUAUUAUAUUGCAAGGGCAAAUAUGUUUGAGGUCUGACUGUUUCAGCUGUACGGUGGAGAGGCAGGUUUUGGAGAUCUGAUACCACUCUGCCUAUUAAAUAGGGCCUUCACCUACCCACAGCAGGGGCCUGCAGACUGGAAGCUCCAUCCAUGCCAACUAGCCACCCGGGAAAGCAUAGUGGUGCCUACCAGUCCUUACAGAUAUAAGCAAUGGGUGCCUAAGGUACAGCUGCAGAGUCUACCCACCAGAGCGCUCUAAAGAACAGAGACGCUCCUUCCUCACUGACACUUGGGGGAAGGCUCUCAGCCCCCUGCCUUCCUCAGAGUGUGACCCCUGCCGCUACCAGAAACCAGUGCAUACACCCAUCACCACUGCUCCUCUAAGAUAGUAGGUGAAAGCCUACACCACAAACUAGGUGACCGACUAUCAGGAACCUGAGCUAAAUCAAUACAAGAAUAGUGAAUGGACUCCUGGGCUCAUAUACCUGGUAACAACUCCAGCCAUCUGGUAACAGGACAUUAGUGCUUCAAAGGCUCCGAUAACCAAGUUAGCUCACUCUCGUAGCCUGUUUAGCUACAUCAAAACAAAACAAAGCAAGAAACUAGGACACGGUGAGCAAACAUAAAAUGAAUAUAAUAACUUAUAGAUGGUUUGGAGACAACAGUUGAUAUCAAAUCACAUAAAGAAGCAGACCAUGAUUGCUUCAACAAAUUCACAAAACAGAGAAUCAAGGACUCUCCCUGAUAAAAAUUUAAUAAACUGCAAAAAUCCAUAGAGAGCAAUCAGAAAUUCAGAAGAUUAACAAUAAGAUUACAGAAUUAGACAACUCAAUAGAAAGUCAGAGGAGCAGAAUUGAGGAACUGGAAAGCAGAAUUUGUGAGAUUGAAGAUAAAUCACUUGGAACCAAUAUAUUUGAGGAAAAAAUCAGAUAAAAGAAUUUUUUAAAAUGAGGAAACCCUAAAAAUCAUGUGGGACUCUGCGAGUGAUUGGAAUACCAGAACAGGGAGGGGUAAUAGAAAAUACAGAGAGAAUUGUUGAAGAUUUGUUGGCAAAAAACUUCCCUGAUAUCAUGAAAGAUGAGAAGAUAUCUAUCCAAAUUGCUCAUUGAACUCCACAUAAGGUAGAUGUUAAAGUCACCAAGACAUCUUAUAAUCAAACUUGCCAAAACCAAAGAUAAAGAGAGAAUUGCAAGAGCAGCGAGGGAUAAACGAAAAGUCACCUACAAAGGACAGCCAAUAAGGAUAAUCUCAGACUACUCGGCAGAAACCAUGCAGGCAAGAAGGCAAUGGGAUGACAUAUCUAAAGCAUUGAAGGAGAAAAAUUGCCAGCCAGGGAUCAUAUAUCCAGCAAAACUGUCUUUUAAAUAUGAAGGCAAAAUUAAGACAUUUACAGAUAGUAGGUGAAAACCUGCACCACACAUGAAGUGACCAACUAUCAGGACACCUGAGCCAAAUCAGUACAAGAAUAGUGAAGGAACUCCUAGGCUCAUAUACCUGGUAACAGCUCUGGCUAUCUGGUAACAGGACAUUAGUUCUUCAAAUGCUCCGAUAACCAAGUUAGCGCACUCUAGUAGCCUAGGAAAUUUGCAAAAACCAAACCAAAACUACAAGAAGUACUAAAGGGAAUUCUCUGGAGAGAAAAUCAACAAUAUCAGAUAUCAGCCCAACACUAGAACAUAGAACAGAGCAACCAGGUAUCAAGUCAGAUAGGGAAAUCAUAAAAAUAAAUCAAGAUUAAAAAAAAAAAAAGCUCAAAACAUGGAAUCAGUGACGUCAUUGUGUAAAAGGUGAAAAUAAUAAAGAAGGACUAAAUAAAGUAGGUACAGAUCUUCCGUAUAGAGAGGAAAUCAAGGCGAUAUAGGGUGAUUCAAGUUAGCUUUAAUCUUAGACAACUAGGGGUAAAUAUCGAGGUAACCACAAAGAAGACUAACAAUCCUACACUUCAAAAAAAAAAAAAAAGAUAAA